RNAcentral lists this ribosomal RNA (232 nucleotides) under uncultured bacterium. RNAcentral's name for it is "partial 16S ribosomal RNA". It matches the Rfam family "Bacterial small subunit ribosomal RNA", at positions 118 to 346 of the family's 1533-position model. The record is from RNAcentral.
UGGGUGAUCUGCCCUGCACUUCGGGAUAAGCCUGGGAAACUGGGUCUAAUACCGGAUAUACCUCAUUGAUCUCCUGGUUGGUGGGGGAAAGCUUUUGCGGUGUGGGAUGGGCCCGCGGCCUAUCAGCUUGUUGGUGAGGUUACGGCUCGACCAAGGCGACGACGGGUAGCUGGUCUGAGAGGAUGGCCAGCCACAGUUGGGACUGAGACACGGCCCAGACCUCCGUACGGGA